ACCGGUAGCUAGCUCUCUGCAACUCUGACAUGGUCACCCACUGAAGCUAAGCAGGGUCCUGCUGCCCGGUCAGUACCUGGAUGGGAGACCACAUGGGAAAGCUAGGUUGCUGCUGGAA
Ribosomal RNA from Danio rerio (zebrafish), 118 nucleotides. Lineage: Eukaryota; Metazoa; Chordata; Actinopteri; Cypriniformes; Danionidae. The record is from Ensembl.